ACCUGAAAAGUUUGUCAAGGACGAAACCACAAGAAACUCUGAAAUAAAAGAGGCAAAGAACAUUCAGGGAGACUGAACAGAAGAUGCCAAAAACGUGGUAAGAAAACCCUGAGAAGAGUAGCAGAACCCAUAGAGAAGAAGUGUUUGGAAGAGGUGGUGGUGGUGAACAACUUUUAAUGGGAAUGAUCCAAGAAAAGAGAGAGGAAGAAAGAGGCACACAUACUGAGGAAAGGCCAUGUGUAGACACACAUAAAGGAGGUGUCCAUCUGCAAACCAAGAAGAGAGCCUUCACCAAAACCCUUCCAUGCUGGCACCUUGACCUUGAACUUAUGGCCUCCAGAAUUAAGAAGAUGAAUUGAAAUCGUAUUGAAGGGACUUGGAUGACUCCAUCAAAUGUCUCCUCAUCCCAGGGAUAAUGUUUAAAACGUCAUCUAAUCUGGACAAAAAUAUUUGAAAACAAACAAACAAAAAAGGCGGGGGGCACCAGUGAGCAUACGGAGACUGUAUUACGUAAGAAGAAAGGAAGAUGUGAAUAUAGUAGAGACUGGAGGAGUUCACAUUUCAAGUUUCAAGGAGACACAGAAGAUAGCCAAUUGUAGAAAAGAAGAAAAAACUUUAAAGGUAAAGAAUAAAAGAAACAUAUCUACCUAAAAGAAACAUAUCUACCUAUCAAUUAUCUAGAUAUAGGUAGAGGUAUACAGAGAUGGAGACAUAAAUACAUAUAUAUAUGUAGAUAUAUAGAUCCAUGUAAAGAGAGAUAUAGACACAGAAAAAAGAAAAAAUGAAGGAGUGAAGAAAGGCACCAUGGUGAAUUGGUUUGUAUUCUAUUAAUGACAAAUGUGAGGGAAGCUGAGACAGUGGCUAACUUUAUUUGAAAUUCUAUUUAAUUGAAUUGGACUUCUUUACUGGAUUUUUUUUAAAAGGAGCAUUCAUCAGUGUUAUACUUCCUGAAUUUUAUUGUGUUUGGUAAUAUCUUCGGCUAGGGAUAAAAGCUGGGUGCCAAACUUAGCUUCGAUAUCUGGCUGGCUCUUCUGAUACGAGAUAUUACUGAGGAGAACUCUAAGUGGUGAUUCUGUCUUACAUGUAGGCUUCCUUUUUGCUCUAGUUACCUACAGAAUUAUUUCUACUUCUGUAAUUUUAAUAUUAAAUAACUUGGCUAUUACUCAGAUUAAAAAAAAUUUCUUGAUCAGUAUGUGUGCUUAUUCCACCUAUGGAUUCAAAACUUUUUCCACACAGUAGGAUGACUAUAGUUAAAUUUUAUUGUAUAUUUCAAAAUAGCUACAGGAGUGGAUAUGGAAUGUUCCCAACAUAAACAAAUAAUAGAUAUUGAGGUGAUGGCCCAAUGACCCUGAAUUGGUCAUUACAUAUUCUACACUUGUAACAAAAUAUCGUAUGUACCUUAUACAAAAAUUAUGUGUUCAUAAAAAUGGAAACUAAAACAUUAACUAAAAAGAAAAACUAUUUUAAAAACUGUAUUCAUAUCGGGAAAAUGAUCCUAACCUUGAAGUUUCUGUGACCCAUUUCGUGUGCUUUCUGUUUAUCUCUUCACUAAUUUUUCCAUCAGGAUGGUAAUAGCAUAUUUUAA
RNAcentral lists this long non-coding RNA (1585 nucleotides) under Homo sapiens (human). RNAcentral describes it as "HSALNT0340780". Lineage: Eukaryota; Metazoa; Chordata; Mammalia; Primates; Hominidae. The record is from RNAcentral.